CAGUAGCUGAGUGGAUAACGUGUUGGCGUUUGAAGCGAAAGGUCCUGGGUUCGAGUUUCAGAGUGAA
This 67-nucleotide transfer RNA is filed under the name Schistosoma mansoni. Lineage: Eukaryota; Metazoa; Platyhelminthes; Trematoda; Strigeidida; Schistosomatidae. The record is from RNAcentral.